This 433-nucleotide ribosomal RNA is filed under the name uncultured bacterium. RNAcentral describes it as "partial 16S ribosomal RNA". It matches the Rfam family "Bacterial small subunit ribosomal RNA", at positions 29 to 507 of the family's 1533-position model. The record is from RNAcentral.
AACGAACGCUGGCGGCAUGCCUAACACAUGCAAGUCGAACGAGAUCUUCGGGUCUAGUGGCGCACGGGUGCGUAACGCGUGGGAACCUGCCUUUAGGUUCGGAAUAACUCAGAGAAAUUUGAGCUAAUACCGGAUGAUGUCUUCGGACCAAAGAUUUAUCGCCUUUAGAUGGGCCCGCGUUGGAUUAGCUAGUUGGUGGGGUAAAGGCCUACCAAGGCGACGAUCCAUAGCUGGUCUGAGAGGAUGAUCAGCCACACUGGGACUGAGACACGGCCCAGACUCCUACGGGAGGCAGCAGUGGGGAAUAUUGGACAAUGGGCGAAAGCCUGAUCCAGCAAUGCCGCGCGAGUGAUGAAGGCCUUAGGGUUGUAAAGCUCUUUUACCCGAGAUGAUAAUGACAGUAUCGGGAGAAUAAGCUCCGGCUAACUCCGUG